Molecule: ribosomal RNA, 665 nt
Filed under: Cryptosporidium cuniculus
Lineage: Eukaryota; Apicomplexa; Conoidasida; Eucoccidiorida; Cryptosporidiidae
Description: SSU rRNA
Rfam family: Eukaryotic small subunit ribosomal RNA
Source: RNAcentral
GGCCUACCGUGGCAAUGACGGGUAACGGGGAAUUAGGGUUCGAUUCCGGAGAGGGAGCCUGAGAAACGGCUACCACAUCUAAGGAAGGCAGCAGGCGCGCAAAUUACCCAAUCCUAAUACAGGGAGGUAGUGACAAGAAAUAACAAUACAGGACUUUUUGGUUUUGUAAUUGGAAUGAGUUAAGUAUAAACCCCUUUACAAGUAUCAAUUGGAGGGCAAGUCUGGUGCCAGCAGCCGCGGUAAUUCCAGCUCCAAUAGCGUAUAUUAAAGUUGUUGCAGUUAAAAAGCUCGUAGUUGGAUUUCUGUUAAUAAUUUAUAUAAUAUAUUUUGAUAGAUAUUUAUAUAAUAUUAACAUAAUUCAUAUUACUAUUUUUUUUUAGUAUAUGAAAUUUUACUUUGAGAAAAUUAGAGUGCUUAAAGCAGGCAUAUGCCUUGAAUACUCCAGCAUGGAAUAAUAUUAAAGAUUUUUAUCUUUCUUAUUGGUUCUAAGAUAAGAAUAAUGAUUAAUAGGGACAGUUGGGGGCAUUUGUAUUUAACAGUCAGAGGUGAAAUUCUUAGAUUUGUUAAAGACAAACUAAUGCGAAAGCAUUUGCCAAGGAUGUUUUCAUUAAUCAAGAACGAAAGUUAGGGGAUCGAAGACGAUCAGAUACCGUCGUAGUCUAACC